This 440-nucleotide ribosomal RNA is filed under the name uncultured bacterium. RNAcentral's name for it is "bacterial SSU rRNA". It matches the Rfam family "Bacterial small subunit ribosomal RNA", at positions 338 to 795 of the family's 1533-position model. The record is from RNAcentral.
CCUACGGGAGGCAGCAGUGGGGAAUCUUGGACAAUGGGCGCAAGCCUGAUCCAGCCAUGCCGCGUGAGUGAUGAAGGCCUUAGGGUCGUAAAGCUCUUUCGCCAGAGAUGAUAAUGACAGUAUCUGGUAAAGAAACCCCGGCUAACUCCGUGCCAGCAGCCGCGGUAAUACGGAGGGGGUUAGCGUUGUUCGGAAUUACUGGGCGUAAAGCGUACGUAGGCGGAUUAGUCAGUCAGAGGUGAAAUCCCAGGGCUCAACCCUGGAACUGCCUUUGAUACUGCUAGUCUUGAGUUCGAGAGAGGUGAGUGGAAUUCCAAGUGUAGAGGUGAAAUUCGUAGAUAUUUGGAGGAACACCAGUGGCGAAGGCGGCUCACUGGCUCGAUACUGACGCUGAGGUACGAAAGUGUGGGGAGCAAACAGGAUUAGAUACCCUUGUAGUC